This 253-nucleotide ribosomal RNA is filed under the name uncultured bacterium. RNAcentral describes it as "partial 16S ribosomal RNA". It matches the Rfam family "Bacterial small subunit ribosomal RNA", at positions 524 to 776 of the family's 1533-position model. The record is from RNAcentral.
UACGGAGGGUGCAAGCGUUAUCCGGAUUCACUGGGUUUAAAGGGUGCGUAGGUGGGAAUGUAAGUCAGUGGUGAAAUCUCCGUGCUUAACACGGAAACUGCCAUUGAUACUAUGUUUCUUGAAUUAUCUGGAGGUCAGCGGAAUAUGUCAUGUAGCGGUGAAAUGCUUAGAUAUGACAUAGAACACCAAUUGCGAAGGCAGCUGGCUACAGGUGGAUUGACACUGAGGCACGAAAGCGUGGGGAUCAAACAGG